This 559-nucleotide ribosomal RNA is filed under the name Sciurus granatensis (red-tailed squirrel). Its description in RNAcentral is "partial 16S ribosomal RNA". It matches the Rfam family "Bacterial large subunit ribosomal RNA", at positions 1808 to 2591 of the family's 2925-position model. The record is from RNAcentral. Lineage: Eukaryota; Metazoa; Chordata; Mammalia; Rodentia; Sciuridae.
AAAAACCAUCACCUCUAGCAUUACCAGUAUUAGAGGCACUGCCUGCCCAGUGACAUGCGUUUAACGGCCGCGGUAUCCUGACCGUGCAAAGGUAGCAUAAUCAUUUGUUCCUUAAAUAGGGACUUGUAUGAAUGGCCUCACGAGGGUUAAACUGUCUCUUACUUCCAAUCAGUGAACUUGACCUUCCCGUGAAGAGGCGGGAAUAAUACAAUAAGACGAGAAGACCCUAUGGAGCUUAAAUCUACUUAGCUUAAGCAUUUUCUAUUAUUUCUCCCUAAUAGGGACUAAUAAAUCUGCCUUGAUUAAGCUUAAGAUUUUGGUUGGGGUGACCUCGGAGCAUAAACUAACCUCCGAAUGAUUUUAGCCUAGACUCGACCAGUCAAAGCAUCUACUCAUUAAUUGACCCAAACUUAUUGAUCAACGGAACAAGUUACCCUAGGGAUAACAGCGCAAUCCUACUCAAGAGUCCUUAUCGACAGUAGGGUUUACGACCUCGAUGUUGGAUCAGGACAUCCAAGUGGUGUAACCGCUACUAAUGGUUCGUUUGUUCAACGAUUAA